ACCAUCCUUUUCUUGGCGUUGCGCUACUGUCCAAUGAGCAUGUAGUGAGGGCAAUACUGCUAAGGCCUGAACGACACACAGCCAUCAACCAGAGCUCUGCUUUACCUUGGUGAAAUUUUUGGAAAA
Molecule: small nuclear RNA, 126 nt
Organism: Equus asinus (donkey)
Lineage: Eukaryota; Metazoa; Chordata; Mammalia; Perissodactyla; Equidae
Product: RNA, U4atac small nuclear 18, pseudogene
Source: Ensembl